GUGCUCACUUGGCAGCACAUAUAUUAAUAUUGAAACAAGAAGAGUAGCAUGGCCCCUGCACAAGGAUGACACACAAAAUCAUAAAAUUUUCCAUAUUUUU
This 100-nucleotide small nuclear RNA is filed under the name Moschus moschiferus (Siberian musk deer). Lineage: Eukaryota; Metazoa; Chordata; Mammalia; Artiodactyla; Moschidae. The record is from RNAcentral.